Molecule: ribosomal RNA, 2896 nt
Filed under: Parcubacteria group bacterium GW2011_GWA2_47_8
Lineage: Bacteria
Description: bacterial LSU rRNA
Rfam family: Bacterial large subunit ribosomal RNA
Source: RNAcentral
GGGUAUACAGAGGAUCCCUUGAGACCAAACAGCGAUGAAGGACGUGGCGUGACUGCGAUAAGCGUCGGCGAGGCGUCGAGCGGCCUGCGACCCGGCGAUGUCCGAAUGAGGAAACUCACUGGAAGUCAUGUUCCAGUAUCACGUGUAUGGGAAACUGUGCGCGUGGAGCAUACCUGGGGAAGUGAAACAUCUCAUUACCCAGAGGAAAAGAAAGCAAUAAUCCAUCCUUCGGGAUGGUGUGCGUAUUCCCUGAGUAGCGGCGAGCGAAACGGGAGAAGUCUAAACCAGUCGAUAAAAGUAUUUUCGGUAGCCGAAGGACCCCUGGAACGGGCGUGCCAAAGAGGGUAAUAGCCCCGUAGGCGAAACUGAAAAUCUACCUUCGAUUGUGUUCUAGAGUAGGGCCGUGCCAGCUGCACGGUUUGAAGGCGGGAGUACUGUCUCCUAAGACUAAAUAUGUUUGGCCAUCGAUAGCGAACAAGUACCGUGAGGGAAAGGUGAAAAGAACCCCGGAAGGGGAGUGAAAUAGACUGUGAAACUGUAUACCUACAACAAGUCGGAGCCCAAGAUUCGUUCUGGGUGACGGCGUGCCUUUUGCAAAAUGAGCCAACGACUUUUAGGGCAUUCCAAGUCUAAGCCGUGACAAAACGGCGGAGGCGUAGGGAAACCGAGUAUGAAUAGUGCGUCUAGGAAUGUUUUAAAGACCCGAAGCCAGGCGAUCCAUCCAUGAGCAGGGUGAGUGCUGGGUAACACCAGCAGGAGGCCCGAACCAGUUGAUCGUGCAAUAUCAUUGGAUGACUUGUGGAUAGUGGUGAAAAGUCAAUCGCGCCUGGGAAUAGCUGGUUCUCUCCGAAACAGCUUUGCGGCUGGCGUUGUGUGAAUCACUCCGGAGGUAGAGCACUGACUAACGGAAGGUGGCCAAUGGCCUACUUUUGUUUAUCAAACUCCGAAUACCGGAAGUGUAUGCACAGCAGUUAGACUACGGGGGCUAAGCUCCGUGGUCGUGAGGUUAAUAGGCCAGACCAUCGCUUAAGGUCCCAAAAUCUAUACUAAGUGGGAAAGGAGGUGGAAUUUCUCCGACAUCUGGGAGGUUGGCUUAGAAGCAGCCAUCCUUUAAAGAGUGCGUAAUAGCUCACCAGCCAAGAGAUUUUGCGCCGAAAAUGUAACGGGGCUAAGUAUAGUACCGAAGGCAUGGGUGCGUGUUGUGCUUCGGCAUAACAUGCGCGGUAGGAGAGCGUUCGCAUUGCGCUGAAGCCGGACCCGCGAGGGCCGGUCGAGCGAUGUGAAGUGAGAAUGUUGGUACGAGUAACCACAAGGGAAGUAAAAUCCUUCCCCGCCGAAAGUCCAAGGUUUCCAUGGCAAUGGCGAUCAUCCAUGGGUUAGUCGGUCCUAAGGUGAACCCGAACGGGGUAGCUGAUGGACAGCAGGUUAAUAUUCCUGCACCACUUGUGUAUGCGAAGGAGCGACGCAUGUUAGUAGUGUGUGCCUCUUAUCGGAUUGAGGUCCGGUGUAUAGGGAGGAAGCGUUGGAAAAUCCGCGCUUCUGUGCUUCGAGCACGACUCCGAGUGCAUCGGGGACGUUCCUGCUUGCAGGAGCAAACGCACAUGAGCAAUGGGCCUAGAAAAACUUCUAAGCAUAAUACACAGGUGACCGUACCGCAAAACCGAAACAGGUGGACAGGUCGAGUAGACCAAGGCGAACGAGUGAAAGCUGGAUAAGGAACUCGGCAAAAAAGCGGCCGUAACUUUGGGAUAAGGCCUGCCUGGUGCGUGCUUGCACGUGCUGGGCCGCAGCUAAAGAUUUCAAGCGACUGUUUAUCAAAAACACAGGUCCCUGCUAACUCGUAAGAGGAUGUAUAGGGGCUGACGCCUGACCAGUGCCGAAAGGUUAAGAAACGCCGGUGCAUUGUGAUUUAUCAUGGUGUGCUGGAGUUCGAAGCCCCGGUAAACGUCAGCGAUAACUAUAAGUUCCGACGCGCAUGAAAGGCGUAACGACUUGAAAACUGUCUCAUCCAGCUGCUCGGUGAAAAUCCAAUUGUCAGUGAAGAUGCUGACUACUCGCAGUUAGACGGAAAGACCCCAGGAGCUUCACUGUAAGCUGCUAUUGGGCCUCAUGUUUGCAUGCGUAGCAUAGUGGGGAGACUUUGAAGGUUCCAUUCUGGUGGAACUGGAGUCGCCAAUGAAAUACCCAUCUUGUGAUUGUGUUGUCCUAACCUCGUUCGUGUGAAAAGCACAACAGGAACAGUGGCAGCCUGGCAGUUUGAGUGGGGCGCUCUUCUCCUAAAGAGUAACGGAGAAGUCUCAAGGUCGGCUAGCUACGGAUGGAAAUCGUAGCGAUAGUGCAAAGGCAUAAGCCGGCUUUACUGCAAGACCUACAAGUCGCGCAGUUGCGAAAGCAGAGCUUAGUGAACCGAAGGUGCUCAAUAGAAUGGGCCCAAGACACCAAAUAAAAGUUACCCUGGGGAUAACAAAUGUUGUCCCGUUCCGAUAGAACAGGCUAGUCGCUCCUGAGAGUUCAUAUCGACGGAGCGGUUCGGCACCUCGAUGUCGGCUCACCGCAUCCCCCCGCUGAAGCAGGUGGGAAGGGUAAUGGCUGUUCGCCAAUUAAAGCGGUACGUGCAGACCGUCGCGAGACAGGUUGGUCCCUAUCUGCUGCGAGCGCCGAUACUUGAGAAGACUCGUCCCUAGUCGAGAGGACCGGGAUGAACAGACCUCUGGUGUACCUGCUGUCGUGCCAACGGCAUCGCAGGGUAGCUAUGUCUGGUAGGGAUAAGCGCUGAAAGCAUCUAAGCACGAAACCCGCUUCAAGAUUAGGUAUCACAGACCCCUGGGAGACUACCAGGUUGAUAGGGUGCAGGUGUACGCGCAGUAAUGCGUUUAGCCGAGCACUACUAAUGGUC